RNAcentral lists this ribosomal RNA (492 nucleotides) under uncultured bacterium. RNAcentral describes it as "partial 16S ribosomal RNA". It matches the Rfam family "Bacterial small subunit ribosomal RNA", at positions 29 to 507 of the family's 1533-position model. The record is from RNAcentral.
AGUGAACGCUGGCGGUAGGCCUAACACAUGCAAGUCGAACGGCAGCACAGUAAGAGCUUGCUCUUACGGGUGGCGAGUGGCGGACGGGUGAGGAAUACAUCGGAAUCUACUUUUUCGUGGGGGGUAACGUAGGGAAACUUACGCUAAUACCGCAUACGACCUACGGGUGAAAGCAGGGGAUCUUCGGACCUUGCGCGAUUGAAUGAGCCGAUGUCGGAUUAGCUAGUUGGCGGGGUAAAGGCCCACCAAGGCGACGAUCCGUAGCUGGUCUGGGAGGAUGAUCAGCCACACUGGAACUGAGACACGGUCCAGACUCCUACGGGAGGCAGCAGUGGGGAAUAUUGGACAAUGGGCGCAAGCCUGAUCCAGCCAUACCGCGUGGGUGAAGAAGGCCUUCGGGUUGUAAAGCCCUUUUGUUGGGAAAGAAAAGCAGUAGGUUAAUACCCCGCUGUUCUGACGGUACCCAAAGAAUAAGCACCGGCUAACUUCGUG